CUUAUUCCCUCAUUAUACAAGUUUUUUUUUGGUGAGUACUUCUGUAUAGGUAAGUAAAAACAUCCAUACUUCUGUGCAAUUUCUGUGUUCAACGUGACCUUUAGCAUCUGCAGAGAAAUUCAAAAUGAGCACAUGUAUGCAUUAGCAUACCCACAUGUGUAACCAUAUCUGUAGCCCUGUGGGGGGCAUUUUAAUUUAUAUGGCAUGUCCAGAAAACUGCCAAAAAGUUUGAGGGAAAAAAAAGCACAACUCAUAGUUAACUUAUAGUUAGCUUCCGAUUUGUGCAAAAAUCUCAG
Molecule: non-coding RNA, 296 nt
Organism: Pelobates cultripes (western spadefoot toad)
Lineage: Eukaryota; Metazoa; Chordata; Amphibia; Anura; Pelobatidae
Source: the annotation of a GenBank genome assembly